Molecule: long non-coding RNA, 1084 nt
Filed under: Gallus gallus (chicken)
Lineage: Eukaryota; Metazoa; Chordata; Aves; Galliformes; Phasianidae
Description: lncRNA (ENSGALG00010026883.1)
Source: RNAcentral
AGCAGGGAAGGAGAGAUGGCAGCGAGGAGGAUCCGGGCUCUAUGUGUUUGCCAAGCAAGCUGGAAGGAACCAAGUUCGGGCUGUUUAAAUCUCUUCCUUCUGUUUCUUUGACAUCUCUGUUCUGCUCUCGCUCCGCUAGCCGGUCUGUGCCAGACUCGGAGGUCCUGAGGAGGAGAGAAGACACGAGUUCAGCAUGGUAGGAAACAGAUUGAAGCGCUCCUAACUUAAAAACUUUGCAAAUGCUGGCUGUGAACGCUGCUUAUUUCCUCAUCAAGCCUGUGCAGAAAUGAAGCAUGUCGUGGCAGAUGGCUCAGGUUCAAGUAGUGGGUAGCUUAUGCUGACUGUCACCUUUCAGUGCACGGUGAGCAGUUCAGCGUAAGGAAACAUCACCGAUGCCAUUAUCUCUGCUGCCAGUCCUGCCUGGUAAACCUGCUCCUUCCAGGAUGGCCGAGCCCAGGGUGCAAACCACAUCCCUCAGCAGCUGUGCAGAGCUUGCACUCAAUAGCCACGUUCCAGGUUCUCAGAACACCCACGGCUGCUUAAAAACCAUGGAGUGAAGAGAUGCCACGCGAGCAGUACUGGGGAGCUGUGUGUGUUCCUGGUUUUCGGAGCGCUGUAGCUUUGCUGUUCUUCAAGUGCAGUGUAGAGGAUGCAAGGCUUGCUGAAAUGAAGCUGUUUCUGUGGAGGAAUACCGCAGCUGAAGGAAUGACGUGGAAAACCCUUCCCAAAGACCAGAGGUGGAGAUGCUCACCUGGAUGGGAGGGGAGGAUGUUGGCAGUAGGAGCGGAGUGGAGCCAAGGAGGAGGGAUGCUGAAAUGCAGGCAAGGAAAAGCUCUGGACAGCACAUUGCUCCCUCCAUGGGGACAGAUUGUCUGGAGGCUGGAUGGAGCACAGGCUUGGCAGGAGGAAGCCUAUUGCUGGGACGUGCUGCCAGUACAGUGGCAGAAGAGUCUGCUGAGAACGUGUGAUCUGCAGCACGCCACGGACCCUCCGCUGCAGGGUGAGCCCCCAGCGUGGCACAGCACAGGCUCUGCAGAAUCCCAGGGGAUCAGCUUGGAGCUGCUUCUCACGGGGGUAGUGAGGC